RNAcentral lists this ribosomal RNA (426 nucleotides) under uncultured prokaryote. RNAcentral describes it as "bacterial SSU rRNA". It matches the Rfam family "Bacterial small subunit ribosomal RNA", at positions 355 to 774 of the family's 1533-position model. The record is from RNAcentral.
UGGGGAAUUUUGCGCAAUGGGCGAAAGCCUGACGCAGCGACGCCGCGUGGGUGACGAAGGCCCUCGGGUUGUAAAGCCCUGUGGGGAGGGAAGAAUAAGGGGCGGCUAACAUCCGCACCGAUGACGGUACCUCCUUAGCAAGCACCGGCUAACUCUGUGCCAGCAGCCGCGGUAAGACAGAGGGUGCAAACGUUGUUCGGAAUUACUGGGCGUAAAGCGCGUGUAGGCGGCUACGCAAGUCGGAUGCGAAAGCCCUUGGCUCAACUGAGGAAGUGCAUUCGAAACGGCGUAGCUCGAGUCCCGGAGAGGAUGGUGGAAUUCUCGGUGUAGAGGUGAAAUUCGUAGAUAUCGAGAGGAACACCAGUGGCGAAGGCGGCCAUCUGGACGGUGACUGACGCUGAGACGCGAAAGCAUGGGGAGCAAACA